GAUGAAGAACGUAGCGAAAUGCGAUAAUUAAUGUGAAUUGCAGAAUUCAGUGAAUCAUCGAAUCUUUGAACGCACAUUGCGCCCGCUAGUAUUCUGGCGGGCAUGCCUGUCCGAGCGUCAUUUCAACCCUCAAGCCCCCGGGCUUGGUGUUGGGGAUCGGCGAGCCUCCGCGCCCGCCGUCCCCUAAAUCUAGUGGCGGUCUCGCUGUAGCUUCCUCUGCGUAGUAGCACACCUCGCACUGGGAAACAGCGCGGCCACGCCGUUAAACCCCCAACUUCUGAACGUUUGACCUCGGAUCAGGUAGGAAUACCCGCUGAACUUAAGCAUAUCAAUAAGCGGAGGA
Molecule: unclassified non-coding RNA, 343 nt
Filed under: soil metagenome
Description: partial contains 5.8S ribosomal RNA, internal transcribed spacer 2, and large subunit ribosomal RNA
Rfam family: 5.8S ribosomal RNA (bases 1-120)
Source: RNAcentral